UGGGCGGUCGUCUAACGGCAAGACAUCGGUCUUUGGAUCCGAGAAUGGAGGUUCGAUUCCUCCCCGCCCAG
Molecule: transfer RNA, 71 nt
Filed under: bacterium
Lineage: Bacteria
Description: tRNA-Gln
Rfam family: tRNA
About the family: Transfer RNA (tRNA) molecules are approximately 80 nucleotides in length. Their secondary structure includes four short double-helical elements and three loops (D, anti-codon, and T loops).
Source: RNAcentral